Chlorocebus sabaeus (green monkey) is the source of this 5051-nucleotide non-coding RNA. The record is from RefSeq and is a predicted model, not a curated record. Lineage: Eukaryota; Metazoa; Chordata; Mammalia; Primates; Cercopithecidae.
UCUGCCAUGAUUUUAAGUUUCCUGAGACCUUCCAGCCAUGCUGAACUGAUUUCCUGAAGACACUAUCACAGUCAAGUGGUCUGCCUGGUACUGAGCCAUCAGACCAGCCAGCGUGUCCUCACCCACGUGGACAGGUGACAGGGGGUUCUGAGUAUGCCUCAGUGCACCUUACGCGCCUGUGAAGGUUGGGAGCCUGAGUGCAGCUCCUGUGGCGCUGCCCACGGGCAGGGAGAUGCCUCCUCAGUGCUCCUGACCCUCGGUGGAGGAGUGGCCAGCGUGUUUGCGGGCAGUGCAUCCACACAGGUGUCCUGCACCCAAGGGGCAAGUCGGAAACGAAGGAAAAUAUCUGUCUGAAGGAAAAGGCAAAGCAAUUUGGAUUUCUGUGAGAAAAUGAGACUGCAUGUGGCACUGUAAAUCCCCUUGCUGUUGAACUUCUCGCGCCCCCCAAAUACACCCUUCAUAUUGACAUGUCUAGAACCUUAAACUGAACCAAGUUGAAAAGUGAGAUUAAUUAGGGCUGAGUUAACAGUUAACACAUACAAUGAAAUAUUGAAUGAGGCUCACUGAGCAAACAAGAAUAUACAGAAGUGGAGGAGACAAAGAGGAUAUUAAAAAUGCAGAGAGUGAUGAGGCAGAUAGCUGCGACAAAUAAUGAAAACCAGUAAAGGAGAUAAGGCAGAUAUUGGAGGAGCAAAGAGUCUCUGAAAUAGAUAUUGGUAUCAAAAGAUGCUAAACACGCUUCUAAAGAGGCUUUCUAGCCGACACAGGGAGCUCACUGAUGAAUGAAGUAGAAACAUUUUUAAAUGGAAUCAAACAGGGCAAAGUGGGAGAAGAAAAAGAAGCAGGUAAACCAGUAAAUUAACUUUCCUUGCAUGUGCUGUAUACUAUUUGUGAGCGAGCAGUGAACGCUAUGGAUCCCUGGAGGGGCUGGGGGCCGCGGUGGGAGGGUUUCGCUGCAAAGAAGCAGAGGUGGUGCCUUUGGACCUCUUCUCCUGAACCUGCAGGGAGAGACGCAGAAUAUUCAAAAUGUGAAGAUGCAAUGAUUCACAUGAGUGUGCAGGUUUUCAGGGUGGUUGCUAAACCCAAAAAGACCGAUAGCUUCGGGCAAAAGACUGCAGAAAGACCAGCUUUACAUUUUUACUGAAGCAAUGGGAAAUUUACCCUGUAAGCCUUGAACAAUUCCCAAAGGGACUCCUGUUCAUUCCUGUGGAUCCUAAUGGGCCAGCAUAGACCUGUUAGUCAAAAGAGGAUUUACCUACAUUGUGCACUCGUUCGGACUGGCAGGGAAGUCAACGCCACUUCCAGAUGUUUGCAGGGCAUGAACCCUGUCCGUUCCCACGCCCUCCGAUGGCUGUUACACAGGGAUGCCCACUUCUGGACAGAAGUGAUUCAUGCAAAAUGAGAACCAUGACCACAGAAGGUUUUGUGCAUUUGGUUAUUUCAAUAUUUAAGUGUAUGCAUGAAUGCUCAGGGUAAAAAUGCUUGGAGUUUAACUCAAUUAAAAAUGUAUACAUUAUUCAUCUUCUAUGGACUGUCCACCAUGUGACCCAGAGAGCUGAGGGGGUAGAAAUACAUUCAUUCAUUCACUGUCUCCUUAAAUAUUUACUGAGCACUUGUUGCAUGUGGAAUAACUCCUUGUUGUAGGUUCCUCAUGGUGGCUCUGCAGGAAGGAUGCAGAGUGUCCUGAGGGGCUACUGGGAAAGUCCACUUUGGGUUGAGGGAUCUGGGAGGGCUCCCUGGAGGAGGAGGUCUUGGACUACAGCGAUGGGAACAUGGAGCUGGAGCGAGACGUGGGUGCCAGUCAGCACAAGAAAGACCUGCACAGAGAAAGUCAGGCUGGGGUGAGAGGGAGCCCCCCGAGCUGGGAGCUCAGCCUGAGAGCAUGGGAAGCCACCGAGGAGCUGGGGAGCCAGGCUGAGUCUGACCCCACUGAUGCAGAUUCCUCUGUGGGCUUGGGGAAGGCCAGAGACAGGGCCGCAGGUGGGGGCUUUGGUGAAGGGAGCGAGAGUGUGAGCCAGUGCCAUGUAGAGAGGACAGAUGCAGGGAUGCCAGCCAGGGUGCCAUCGGCCAAGAAAGAAAGGUCCAGCAGGUGCAGUAUCAGAGCAGGGUCCCAGAGGAAGGCAACAGGGACAGUUCUGGCUUCUUACCUCGGCCACUAGGAAGAUGGUGAUGCUCUGAGGGUGAUGAGGCCACAGGGUGGGAGGGAGGAGGAGGAGCCUCCCCCUGCAAGCUCUGUUAGGGGGGCACACAUCAGUGGCUCCCCACCACCCUCUGGACGAAGCCCAGAGCACAGAGCACUUGAGGCUACUGGGUGUCCCUGGUCCCUGCUCUGCCAAACAGCUCUCCUGUCACCAGCCUAAUCUCCAUGGCCGGGCAUUCUGAAUCCACGAAUCCAGCUCCCAAGUGGUUCACAGGCUCCCAGCCCAGGCCAUGUGUGUGUGCUGUCUCCCUGUGGGAGCAGGCUCCUGUCCUAGCUCCAUGCACCUGCUCACAGCUUGGCCCUCAGCUUAAAGGCCCCUUCCAGGGUCAGGGUCCCAACUGGGAACCCCCAUUCUGGGCUCUGCAAAUGCCUCCCAGCACUUACUCCCCACAAUGCUCUGUCCGAGGGUCUUGGCCUCUGGCUUGUGAGCUCACAGAGGGCCGCGCCCUUGCACUCACCAUCCCGUUCACCUGCAGGGCCAGGCCUUGUGCCAGCAUAGAGGUGAAUGGGCACACGCUUCCCAUCUGCUGGGGAGAUUCUCGCUCUGCUGGCUCUGCCUCACCCCUGGGGGCUCUGCCAGCUCCUCAGAACCCUGAGUCCGGGGCACGACGUGGCCUCAGGUCUGGGCCAGAUGACGUAGUGCAGGCUCUAGGCCCCGGGAGGGACGUGGCACUUCCUGCAUCAGCUCUGUCGCUGGCCUCACUAGGGCUUCCCUCCCCAAGUCUCAGGGGCUGCAGGGUACCCCAUCCUCUCCACAGAACACGUGCGUGGGCCUCCAGGAGAUGGUUAGUAGAACAGAGAGGUUUUAGGGAAGUUUAUAUUUAUAGCUCUUACAUUUAUUUAUAUUUAUCAAAUAUGUACCCAUCACUAAAAUCUCUUCCGAGCAUUUUCAAAAAUUAAAGAGUUGCGUCUAAAAAUACUGACCUUGAUGUUCAGCGUGUGUGGGUAACUCCCCAGGCCCAGAGACAUCAAGAGCAGAUGUGACAGCAGCCAUGGCUGCUCAGGGGCUGGGGAUGCGGGAAAGGGGUGGCUCUCAAAUAGUCUUGACAAGCAGCUGAAUAUGGUUGUGUCAGAUUUGGAAAGUGCAGCCUGAGAAUUUGAAAUCCAUUCAUUCCCCACCCCCCAACCAUUUUUUCAUGUAUUCAUUCAUUCGGCACACCCUGAAUGAACACUCUUUUAUUUGAUACCUAUCCAGGGGCACUGCACAGGCUCAUGACCGUCAUACGCCCAGUCUGGCCCCAUGGUGUGCCUGAGCAGAGGACUGUUAGCAAGUGGGUCACUUCCAUCCUCCAUGGUAAACGCUGAGAAAAGAAAGAUCAAAGGCUUCAGAGCCCAUGGGAGGGAUACAGACAGGGGCUGGGCAGCUGCUAAGAAAACUGCCUGGGCAACAGGGUGGCCGUGACCAGGAGGAGGGGGAGAAGGACCCAGAGGAGUGGAGGAAUCCUUGCUGUGGAAGGCACCAUAUGAGCUGCGUGAAGUCAGAGUCAAAAGCAAACCCGUCUCCUCCUGACAGCGGGACCCAGGAGGCAGGACAACCUGCCAGAGAGGCUGAAGGAGGUUCUCUCGCGCUGGAUCCUCGACAAGAAAAAGGAAGAGGGUCUCCCCUGCUUCCCUCGCCCACAACAGCUGGUCUUCCAGAGGUCAGCCGUCUCGUCCCUUGUCUUCAGAAUCUGGUGGAGUUGGAGGCAGACACCUGAGGUUAGGAAGGGAAGGUGAGACCCGACCCAGGAAAGCUGAGUCCUCCUGAACCCUCAGGGCUGGGGUGAGGGGCCAGUGCCCGACCCAGACACCAACACAGCCCUGCAGUGAGAGGCAAUCUCAGCAGAUGGAUGGGCACUUCCCGGAUGAUGAACUGGUCAGCACUACAGUGGCCCCCUUGGCCUAAUUUGCCCACCUGAAGAGCUUCCAGGUCUCCAGUGACCCUAGUAUCACGGCCAGGAGAGGAGCAGGGUGACCUGAGGGUGCAGAGAAGGUUCUGCUGUAAUCAAGUUCCCCUGCCAGGUCAGAGGCUCAGAGGUUUGGGAGGGGAAGGAUUUCCUGUUAAAGCAGCAGGAUCCCUGUGGGCCCAGAGGGAAACACAGACUUGGCGGGCGUCCCAUGGAGUGGGAGUGAACAGGAGCAGGAGGAAGGUGGGUGCAGCCCCCAUACGGGCCUCAGGUCACACUGGAUGUUUCCUCAGCAAGCGUCACCUGGGUGGUGACGAAUGGCGGAGGAGAACAAGUGGAGUUCAGGGAGUAGCAGUGUGAAGCUGCACCGCCUGGUCCCCACUUGAGGUAAACAGGGUUUGCUCUGCCGAAGGAGCCCACGCUGGCUGCAGACACGGGGCAACCAUGUGAGAAAGGUCGGACCCAGGCCCACUCGCCUUCCACAUGCGUCUUAGGGACGGGGAUGCCUGCGCCAGCAGCAGCCUUGCUGCCCCUUCGUCCCCCAGUGCACCUGCCAGGGGAAAGCCAACAGGCAGUGCCAAGGACCUGAAGGGGGAGGCGGGCUUGACUCUGAGGCAGGGCACGGACACCAGACCACGUGGAGGAGCAGCUGAAACAGGGCCAGUGGCAGCAGCCACCUGUGAGAUGUGCCAACCAGUGAGCCUUGUUUAGUUUACUAUUGCCAUGGCAAGACCCAGAAGUUACUGCCACUUUCCAUGGUAAAAACCCAAUGACCCUGAGGUUUCUGCCCCUUUUCUAGAAACUUCUGCAUAAACCAACCCUUAGUUAGCAUGUAGUUAAAAGUGGACAUAAAUAUGCUUCGGGGCUGCCUCUGAGCUGCUGUUCUGGGUGCACUGCCCACGGGGAGUCCUGCUCUUCCGGGAGCAGCCCCCUCGGCUACCGCAGCAAUAAAAGCUGCUACAGCA